CAGCAGCCACGGGAAUACGAAGGGGGCUAGCGUUGUUCGGAAUUACUGGGCGUAAAGCGCACGUAGGCGGCUUGGUAAGUUAGAGGUGAAAGCCUGGAGCUCAACUCCAGAAUUGCCUUUAAGACUGCCGAGCUAGUAGGUGAGAGAGGUAAGUGGAAUUCCGAGUGUAGAGGUGAAAUUCGUAGAUAUUCGGAAGAACACCAGUGGCGAAGGCGGCUUACUGGCUCAUUCUAGACGCUGAGGUGCGAAAGCGUGGGGAGCAAACAGGAUUAGAUACCCGCGUAGUCCCUGUCUCUUAUAC
RNAcentral lists this ribosomal RNA (301 nucleotides) under uncultured bacterium. Its description in RNAcentral is "partial 16S ribosomal RNA". It matches the Rfam family "Bacterial small subunit ribosomal RNA", at positions 509 to 807 of the family's 1533-position model. The record is from RNAcentral.